Molecule: non-coding RNA, 75 nt
Organism: Micromonospora carbonacea
Lineage: Bacteria; Bacillati; Actinomycetota; Actinomycetes; Micromonosporales; Micromonosporaceae
Rfam family: ASpks TB sRNA
Source: Rfam
CUUGACCGAGCCGAGCCACAGCGGCUCCGCCCCGGCCCGGUCCUGCCCGUAGGUGGCCAGCAGCGCCUGCGCCUC